This 641-nucleotide ribosomal RNA is filed under the name uncultured bacterium. Its description in RNAcentral is "bacterial SSU rRNA". The stretch from base 1 to 547 matches the Rfam family "Bacterial small subunit ribosomal RNA", at positions 338 to 873 of the family's 1533-position model. The record is from RNAcentral.
CCUACGGGAGGCAGCAGUAGGGAAUCUUCCACAAUGGACGAAAGUCUGAUGGAGCAACGCCGCGUGAGUGAUGAAGGUUUUCGGAUCGUAAAACUCUGUUGUAAGGGAAGAACAAGUACGAGAGGGAAUGCUCGUACCUUGACGGUACCUUGCGAGAAAGCCACGGCUAACUACGUGCCAGCAGCCGCGGUAAUACGUAGGUGGCAAGCGUUGUCCGGAAUUAUUGGGCGUAAAGCGCGCGCAGGCGGCCUUUUAAGUCUGAUGUGAAAGCCCCCGGCUCAACCGGGGAGGGUCAUUGGAAACUGGAAGGCUUGAGUACAGAAGAGAAGAGUGGAAUUCCAUGUGUAGCGGUGAAAUGCGUAGAGAUGUGGAGGAACACCAGUGGCGAAGGCGACUCUUUGGUCUGUAACUGACGCUGAGGCGCGAAAGCGUGGGGAGCAAACAGGAUUAGAUACCCUGGUAGUCCACGCCGUAAACGAUGAGUGCUAGGUGUUGGGGGGUUUCCGCCCCUUCGAGUGUCUGAGACUACGACAUAAGACACNCCGCCGUCGGGAGGUACGGCCGGCGACGGACGUAGAAACGUUAAAGGUAAAGUUAGUACGGCGUGAGACGUGACCGACGGACGACGACGAGGGAGGAGG